ACAAGCACCUGUCCUAUCGAUCCCCUCGAGGAGAAGCCAUCGCCCCCAUCUCCCACUCCGCCGCCGUCGCCCCACGCCUUCCCCUAUCUCCCUCUCAGCCACCUCCACCACCCCCACGCUUCUCCCCAUCGCCGGAUCCGCUAUGAGAUUACCAAGGUUAGGCGGUAGAGCUCCACGCCCGCGACGCGCUCGUGCUCGUCAAGGAAGGGGCUCCCGAUCGAAUCUGCACUCAUGCGGCUUGUGUGCCAUGGCCGCCAUGGCAUCCAUGGCCGACAAUAGGGGACCCUAGGCCUCGGCCAUGGCCACCUUCUCUGGACACGGGGUCGCCACAUCCGACGCUGCCAGUGCCUCAUGGACCGCCAUCAGGAGCUCCAGGUCCGCCGCUAUCGAACUCUACGGCCAUGGUCACCACGUCCAUAUUCGAUCAUCUGAUCUGAUCUGAUCCUAAGUUCCCAAGUCAUGAUGGAAUGUACACGUACGUGGAUCCAAGUCCGAGUUGGGAGCGACAUUGAUCCGAUGAACGUGCAAGGAAUUUCUGAAUCCAUGACUUCUAUUUGAGCAUAUAUGUUCGUUGGUUAUUCAAUUCAAUUGUUCGUACAACAGCAAAAAAAAUUAGCACGAAUUCCAGUAGUUGUGUUUGCUUCUUUUGAAGGUGGAUCUUCGUUUCUUUCUAAUAGUUGUGUUGCGCGAAUUUCCAAUUAUCUGAGUAUAUGUCCUAUAGUUUCCUUUAAAGAAGAAGAAGAACAUGAGGUUGGUACUGCAUCUGUCCUAGCACGAGGAACUUUGCUACAGUCUUUGUGGACAGGUUGACGACAGGAGCUGAAGUACGUUUGAACAAACGUUUUCUUUCAGUUUUCCCAAAUAAAUUAUUCAGAAUUCAGGUUUUCAAGCAAGACUGAUGCAGAACUAGCGGUACAUUUCUAAACAUUGUGCAUUUUUUGUCAUCCGUCGGGCACUUCAUUGAACGAAUUAUGAUCCUUUAGUUUUAUGAACUGGGAAUUCUGGUUUAUUUUAGGCCAAAUAUUCUGUCAACAUGUCAUUUCUUACAUACAUCUCUUUGAUUCUUCCUAGAAAACCAGCCUCCUUAUCUGCAUUUUUGGGCAACUUUAUGGUCUACUUACUAUAUAUACACAUGGUUUUGCCAUCUCGCUAGAAGCUGAUUGGUCAAGCAUGCCACAAAAAAUAUUAGGCGGUACAAUGCAUUUCUCGGAAUUAACAGCCCCAUAACUUGUGACAAUAAACUGAUUGCCUCAUAUGCUAGAAGCUUGCUGCAAUUUACUGCUAGGAAAUCUUAUAAUUGGGCAGCACAAUAACAAAGAGCAAAGUUGCUAAUUCACUUCUAAUGAAUGUGCAUUGGGAGGAAUGAGAGGGCACCACACUUCUCAUCUGCUAUACUUUUUUAGAGACUUUUCAUUUCCUACCCUGCUGGAUGAUGUCUAUAUGAAUAUUCUUCUUCAAAGUCUUCUAACCGUCAAGCUGCAUAUCGGCGCCUUCAAUAUAGAGUUGAUUAUACUGUCUAUUUUACUGCAAGUAGGGAAAGAUGGACUCUGGAUAUCCAUAUUCUCAGGUGUUAAUGUAGUGCUAGGCCAUAUAGUAUAGGACUGAGUUCUUUCACCUCCUAAUCAUGGUAAUUCAAUUCAAUAUUUGGGUACUUUGCUUUUUGCAUAGUUGACGAACAACAUGGCCAUUGCCAUCUAUGAAUAUAUGUACAAAAAGUGGCAAAACCCUUUAGUUUGCUGCAGUUCACCCUCUAAAAUUUCUGCACGCCAAAGUCUCUGUAGCUUUUUAUAGAUAUUUUGCACAUGUACUUUCCCUAUAAAUAAAAGCUGCCAUGUGUACUUGUGGAUAAGCUAAACCGAUGACGUCUUGGAGAAGCUUGGAAUGAUGUACAUAUCUGAUUUCUCAAGUGUGUACUCUGUGGAAAUAAGCUAUAUUGUAUACUUUCACACAUCUAAUGUUUUGUACUUCAAUUCAAGUUGCAUAUAUUUUGUUUGUUUGAUUAGCUAUUCUUAUAAAAAUAAAUGCACAACUAAUGUAUGACUGAUCUUAUGAUUAUAGAUGUGAUUUAAUUUCUGUAGCUUCCUGAUGAAGUUUGCAUCAACUUGAGCUUUCUUUGAGAAGGAUUUGUUUUUCUGGUAAUCCCUAACAAAAUGAUUGAUAGGGAAGCAUGCAUAUAAUUACCAAAGCAUGAAAAAGAAUUGCCACUUCCUUACCUCCUUGUAACAUCAUUGUUACAGGUUUGGAAAGCUUUCGGCCUAGAUGCCAUUUCCUAAUUGCUAGAGCUACAAGGGUACAUAUUUACUUCCUUAUCAUCCUUGAGCCAUGUUAUCUGCGAGGGUACUUAAUUGCUUACGUGUUUGCAAUUUCUAUUUUUGAAUUUUUAUAGCUAAUCCUCUCUUUAAUUUUCAAUCAGCUAUUAAUUUGCUUACACACGAAAGAACGUUUCCUAAUGCGUGGGUGUUUAUAGAACAUUGCUGGUCUCUUCAAUGGCAAUCGAUAUUCACUGGUGUUGUCAGGCAUUCAAUCAGAGGUGCGGCAGGCUUCUGACAUCAACGACGUUGCCAACAACGUCUAUCAGCACAAUUCGGCCACCGGUCCUACCGUUAUGUGAACUUGGAUCUCUGGCAAAAACUGAAAAUUUCUUUUUGGGUUAAGCACUACUGAUUUGUGGUGGUAAAUUCUUUUGGCGAGGAAACUGAAAUAUACUAUAAUGGCAGUAUCUCGACCGGCAUUGAGGAUUAAGGACUUUAACUGUGCCGCCACAUUUUGUAUGCAUGGUAUUCUAUGCACAAUUUGUUUGCUCAUAUACAAGGAAUGCUCACUACAUUAUGAGACAAAAGUUUAUUAUGGACUGGUAAGAGCUUACUGAUGAUUCAUCAUGUCAUCCUUAGAUACAAAGAUUAAGGUGUACACAAUUCAAACACUCAUGUUUGGCAUGUUCCACGCAACACACCUGCUCCAUGAAACAUCAUCAUUAGUCGGGGUAAGCACUCCAUCACACAUCCUCCGUAUUUUUUCAUAAUUUUUUGAGAUGCAUUUUAGUUUUCUCUUUAGUUGUUUUGUACUUACUGAAAUAAUGAAUUCAGUAGCAGAAAUUUCUUAUUUAUUUGUUGAAACAUGGGCAUGACUCAUGCAUUUUGUUAGGCUGAAGCACAGGAAGAAGCAGUGUGCAAUGACAUUUGUAUUUGCAGUGUGAAAAUCUCUUGCGUAUUCUUGGUCUUGUUUUUAUUGAGCUCAUAGUUGUGUAUUAUUUGUUUUCAUUACUUUGGAAGUGAUAUAUUUGGUAAUAACAAGUUCUUGUGUGGUGCUCCAUAUAUGCAUUCGGGAUUAUAAAUUAGAUUUUCCAGUAUCUUACAUCAGGGAUCAUCAAUGGGGAUGAAAAGGAGGUCGAAUGAUUUAUCCUGGGUAGUGAUAUGAGUUAUACCUUGAGAUAAGGGGGUGAAAGGUAUGAUGCAGUCUAUUGUGGUACCUAGAUGGAACUGUUGAACCGGUGAAAAAGUCAUAUUUCAGUAUCUCCUAGAUGGAACCGUUGAACCGGUGAAAAAGUCAUAUUUCAGUAUCUGCCCAACCUCUGCAUGUAAUACACCUACUUUGUUCUUCCUUUAUUUUGUUCUAAUGACUAACUUGACCAUCUCAAUUGUCAUUAUUCCCUUUAUAUAGUAGCACAUAUAAAUAGGUGUAUUUUACAUUACAUGGUAUGCUAAAAUCUGAAAUCGUAUUUAAGAGUUUACUCCCAUUUACUUGUGUUUUUUCAUACUAAUAGAAUUAAUGUCAAUUAGACAUCGUGUUUAUUCAAACUUAAUGGUUUUUCAUGGAAUAUGGAAUUUGAGUAUGAUAGCUAUUGAACUGAAAAUAAUCUAUCGAACAAUAAUAAAAUGAUGAGCAAGUUAUUGUAUCGCAAAAGUCCUAAGACUGAAUGAUAGGCUAAUACACUUGUGAAAUCAAAGUGCUUUGUUUGGAUACCAAGCAGGAAAAUAGUUCACAUAGUUUUGCCACUAUUUUAUUCCAUCUGUUAAUUUGCAACUAUUUUAUUAGAUAUAUGGAGUACUAAUUAAUUAGCCAUAACUAUAGUUUAUUAGUUAGCUCGUUCGUUUUUUUGCCUCCCAGGUUGGUUCGCUUCCUCUCCUCACCCCAUUAGGACAAUUACAGAAAGGAAAUAGGUGAAAGAAAAUGUUGGCGGUUUGAAAAGACUUACCAGAUCCACCCAUGAAAUCUCUCAAAAGACCUGAUGAAAGCUUCAGAAGUUAGCUACCAUCAGUUCCUACGGUUCAGCACUGCACAUAUAUUUUCUAGAUUUUACACAUCAGAAAAUGUCCCUUGUACUUGACUUCCAUAUUUUUUGCAGCUUCUUUCUUUGGCUUAUUUCAAGUAAGUUGGAAGUGUCUUUCAAUUUUCUUAUGUUCCUGAAGAUGCAGAUUCGAGAGGAACCACGAGGGGACCUAGAAAAGCUAGCUUAUUCUCAUUUGAGAAAAAUCUCAUUUCUGCCACAAUCUAGCAAUCCCACUAGAGGAGAACCAGCAUCACUUGACAAGUUCAUGUAACCCCAAAACGAAGGAUCGUCCUUGCUACCCCUUCAGGGAAGGAUUCUGAUGAAGCCUAGCUAUUGUUGGAGGUUCCUCACAAUGCAUGACACUAACAGGUAGAAUUAAUUUAGCCUAUUCAAUGGAAGUGUUUCAACAAAUGCAGGAGGAAGAUGCCGGGACUCCUACUCGCUAGAGAAGAACAAAAUUACUAAAGUACUACAUUUCUUUUCCAAGGCAUUCAUUCUUUUAAUAUGGUAAAAGCACGAGGCAUCUGAUAUCACAUAGCAAUAAAAAGGGAGAAUUACUAAUGAACACUUGACUGAAAAUUGCAUUCAAGUGACUUGGACUGCAGUUUGCCUUGAGAUAAAGAGAUUGGCCAUAUUGUAUAGAUAUUGACUGCAAUAUAGGAAAGUUUCAGGUUCAUAGAAGGGAGGGAGCAGCUGACCAGUGGAAGGUGGCCUGUGGGUUGAGGAGCUCGGUGGCGAAGAGAAGCCGUCGGCGUUGGGGUGCACCACAGGAUCCCCUCCUUAUCUAGCUACGUGCAUCCAGGUGUGCACGGCGUGGGGAAGGUAUCCAGGACACCGAGCUGGAUCCCUGAGCGCAUGGGACGGAGCCCACCACGCGCUGCAAGGUGCGUGCGAGUCGCCGGGCGUGGCCACGACCAGAAUCAGACAUGUGCGCCACCAGCGCGGCUGGGGGCGGGAUGAAGGAGUGGUACAACAAUGUAGGGGCGCUGCCUCUUGCUGGAAAGAAAGCCACCGCCCUUGCCCGUCGUUGUCGGCCUGCCGCGGCGAGACGAAGGGGAAAGAGUGAGCGGCCAGGGAGGUGUGAGAGCGUUGUGGUUGCUUUAGAUUUUUUUUCCUUAUUUUUUUGUCCUAUGGCUGUAAAAUUUCCUUAUCAUUUUUUUUGCUGGAGGCGCAUAGCAUGUGAACUAAGGUUUUUGAGCUUAAGUUGAUGAAAAGA
Long non-coding RNA from Triticum dicoccoides, 5486 nucleotides. RefSeq lists it as uncharacterized. NCBI's taxonomy places the organism in Eukaryota, Viridiplantae, Streptophyta, Magnoliopsida, Poales, Poaceae. The transcript has 3 exons. The record is from RefSeq and is a predicted model, not a curated record.